Molecule: ribosomal RNA, 238 nt
Filed under: uncultured bacterium
Lineage: Bacteria
Description: partial 16S ribosomal RNA
Rfam family: Bacterial small subunit ribosomal RNA
Source: RNAcentral
CCGGCACGGGUGAGUAACGCGUAUGCAACUUACCUAUCAGAGGGGGAUAACCCGGCGAAAGUCGGACUAAUACCGCAUGAAGCAGGGAUCCCGCAUGGGAAUAUUUGCUAAAGAUUCAUCGCUGAUAGAUAGGCAUGCGUUCCAUUAGGCAGUUGGCGGGGUAACGGCCCAUCAAACCGACGAUGGAUAGGGGUUCUGAGAGGAAGGUCCCCCACAUUGGUACUGAGACACGGACCAA